Molecule: small RNA, 69 nt
Filed under: Lederbergia galactosidilytica
Lineage: Bacteria; Bacillati; Bacillota; Bacilli; Caryophanales; Bacillaceae
Description: Bacillus galactosidilyticus Bacillaceae-1 RNA
Rfam family: Bacillaceae-1 RNA
Source: Rfam by way of RNAcentral
UAAAAAGGACCCGUCGGCUAAAGACGCUGACGUCCUGUCAGCAACGCCGACACUAGCACAUCCUGUGCG